UGCGGGAUGGAUGCUGGUUUCCCAGCCUGGCUCAUAACCAGGACCACGCCGGUUCGAUUCCGGCUCCCGCGACCA
RNAcentral lists this transfer RNA (75 nucleotides) under Alphaproteobacteria bacterium. RNAcentral describes it as "tRNA-OTHER". It matches the Rfam family "tRNA". Rfam says of the family: Transfer RNA (tRNA) molecules are approximately 80 nucleotides in length. Their secondary structure includes four short double-helical elements and three loops (D, anti-codon, and T loops). Lineage: Bacteria; Pseudomonadati; Pseudomonadota; Alphaproteobacteria. The record is from RNAcentral.